GGCGGACGGGUGAGUAACGCGUGGGUAACCUGCCUCAUACAGGGGGAUAACAGUUAGAAAUGACUGCUAAUACCGCAUAAGCGCACGGGACUGCAUGGUCCAGUGUGAAAAACCGAGGUGGUAUGAGAUGGACCCGCGUCUGAUUAGCUGGUUGGCGGGGUAACGGCCCACCAAGGCGACGAUCAGUAGCCGACCUGAGAGGGUGGCCGGCCACAUUGGGACUGAGACACGGCCCAAACUCCUACGGGAGGCAGCAGUGGGGAAUAUUGCACAAUGGGGGAAACCCUGAUGCAGCGACGCCGCGUGAGCGAGGAAGUAUUUCGGUAUGUAAAGCUCUGUCAGCAGGGAAGAAGAAUGACGGUACCUGAAGAAGAAGCACCGGCUAAAUACGUGCCAGCAGCCGCGGUAAUACGUAUGGUGCAAGCGUUAUCCGGAUUUACUGGGUGUAAAGGGAGCGCAGGCGGUUCUGCAAGUCUGAUGUGAAAGCCCGGGGCUCAACCGCGGGACUGCAUUGGAAACUGCGGGACUGGAGUGUCGGAGGGGUAAGCGGAAUUCCUGGUGCAGCGGUGAAAUGCGUAGAUAUUAGGAGGAACACCGGUGGCGAAGGCGGCUUACUGGACUGUAACUGACGUUGAGGCUCGAAAGCGUGGGGAGCAAACAGGAUUAGAUACCCUGGUAGUCCACGCCGUAAACGAUGAUUACUAGGUGUCGGGGGACCAAGGUCCUCCGGUGCCGGCGCAAACGCAUUAAGUAAUCCACCUGGGGAGUACGUUCGCAAGAAUGAAACUCAAAGGAAUUGACGGGGACC
This 808-nucleotide ribosomal RNA is filed under the name uncultured bacterium. RNAcentral describes it as "bacterial SSU rRNA". It matches the Rfam family "Bacterial small subunit ribosomal RNA", at positions 97 to 921 of the family's 1533-position model. The record is from RNAcentral.